Molecule: ribosomal RNA, 497 nt
Filed under: uncultured bacterium
Lineage: Bacteria
Description: partial 16S ribosomal RNA
Rfam family: Bacterial small subunit ribosomal RNA
Source: RNAcentral
GAUGAACGCUGGCGGCGUGCCUAAUACAUGCAAGUCGAGCGAACAGACGAGGAGCUUGCUCCUCUGACGUUAGCGGCGGACGGGUGAGUAACACGUGGAUAACCUACCUAUAAGACUGGGAUAACUUCGGGAAACCGGAGCUAAUACCGGAUAAUAUAUUGAACCGCAUGGUUCAAUAGUGAAAGACGGUUUUGCUGUUACUUAUAGAUGGAUCCGCGCCGCAUUAGCUAGUUGGUAAGGUAACGGCUUACCAAGGCAACGAUGCGUAGCCGACCUGAGAGGGUGAUCGGCCACACUGGAACUGAGACACGGUCCAGACUCCUACGGGAGGCAGCAGUAGGGAAUCUUCCGCAAUGGGCGAAAGCCUGACGGAGCAACGCCGCGUGAGUGAUGAAGGUCUUCGGAUCGUAAAACUCUGUUAUUAGGGAAGAACAAAUGUGUAAGUAACUAUGCACGUUUUGACGGUACCUAAUCAGAAAGCCACGGCUAACUACGUG